AGUGAACGCUGGCGGUAGGCCUAACACAUGCAAGUCGAACGGCAGCACAGUAAGAGCUUGCUCUUACGGGUGGCGAGUGGCGGACGGGUGAGGAAUACAUCGGAAUCUACUUUUUCGUGGGGGAUAACGUAGGGAGACUUACGCUAAUACCGCAUACGACCUACGGGUGAAAGCAGGGGAUCUUCGGACCUUGCGCGAUUGAAUGAGCCGAUGUCGGAUUAGCUAGUUGGCGGGGUAAAGGCCCACCAAGGCGACGAUCCGUAGCUGGUCUGAGAGGAUGAUCAGCCACACUGGAACUGAGACACGGUCCAGGCUCCUACGGGAGGCAGCAGUGGGGAAUAUUGGACAAUGGGCGCAAGCCUGAUCCAGCCAUACCGCGUGGGUGAAGAAGGCCUUCGGGUUGUAAAGCCCUUUUGUUGGGAAAGAAAAGCAGCAGGUUAAUACCCCGCUGUUCUGACGGUACCCAAAGAAUAAGCACCGGCUAACUUCGUG
This 492-nucleotide ribosomal RNA is filed under the name uncultured bacterium. RNAcentral describes it as "partial 16S ribosomal RNA". It matches the Rfam family "Bacterial small subunit ribosomal RNA", at positions 29 to 507 of the family's 1533-position model. The record is from RNAcentral.